This 451-nucleotide ribosomal RNA is filed under the name uncultured bacterium. Its description in RNAcentral is "SSU rRNA". It matches the Rfam family "Bacterial small subunit ribosomal RNA", at positions 26 to 518 of the family's 1533-position model. The record is from RNAcentral.
AGAGCGAACGCUGGCGGCAUGCUUAACACAUGCAAGUCGCACGGGCAGGGGAAACCCUGUCAGUGGCGGACGGGUGAGUAACGCGUAGGUAUCUAUCCUUGGGUGGGGGACAACGGCUGGAAACGGCUGCUAAUACCGCAUGAUGACCGAGGUCUAAAGGCGCAAGUCGCCUGGGGAGGAGCCUGCGUACGAUUAGCUUGUUGGUGGGGUAAAGGCCUACCAAGGCUACGAUCGUUAGCUGGUCUGAGAGGAUGAUCAGCCACAUUGGGACUGAGACACGGCCCAAACUCCUACGGGAGGCAGCAGUGGGGAAUAUUGGACAAUGGGCGCAAGCCUGAUCCAGCAAUGCCGCGUGUGUGAAGAAGGUCUUCGGAUUGUAAAGCACUUUCGACGGGACGAUGAUGACGGUACCCGUAGAAGAAGCCCCGGCUAACUUCGCGCCAGCAGCCGC